CCAUAGCGUCUAUUCAAGUUGUUGCGGUUAAAAAGCUCGUAGUUGGAUUUCUGCUGAGGAUGACCGGUCCGCCCUCUGGGCAGGUAUCUGGCUCAGCCUUGGCAUCUUCCUGAAGAACGCAGCUGCACUUGACUGUGUGGUGCGGUAUUUAGGACAUUUACUUUGAGGAAAUUAGAGUGUUUCAAGCAAGCGCACGCCUUGAAUACAUUAGCAUGGAAUAAUAAGAUAGGACCUCGGUUCUAUUUUGUUGGUUUCUAGAACUGAGGUAAUGAUUGAUAGGGAUAGUUGGGGGCAUUCGUAUUUAACUGUCAGAGGUGAAGUUCUUGGAUUUGUUAAAGACGGACUACUGCGAAAGCAUUUGCCAAGGAUGUUUUCAUUGA
Molecule: ribosomal RNA, 380 nt
Filed under: uncultured eukaryote
Lineage: Eukaryota
Description: partial 18S ribosomal RNA
Rfam family: Eukaryotic small subunit ribosomal RNA
Source: RNAcentral